This 180-nucleotide ribosomal RNA is filed under the name uncultured bacterium. Its description in RNAcentral is "partial 16S ribosomal RNA". It matches the Rfam family "Bacterial small subunit ribosomal RNA", at positions 393 to 565 of the family's 1533-position model. The record is from RNAcentral.
CAUGCCGCGUGUGUGAAGAAGGUCUUCGGAUUGUAAAGCACUUUAAGUUGGGAGGAAGGGCAGUAAGUUAAUACCUUGCUGUUUUGACGUUACCAACAGAAUAAGCACCGGCUAACUUCGUGCCAGCAGCCGCGGUAAUACGAAGGGUGCAAGCGUUAAUCGGAAUUACUGGGCGUAAAG